Equus quagga is the source of this 1397-nucleotide long non-coding RNA. RefSeq lists it as uncharacterized. The transcript is spliced from 3 exons. Lineage: Eukaryota; Metazoa; Chordata; Mammalia; Perissodactyla; Equidae. The record is from RefSeq and is a predicted model, not a curated record.
GCACUCGUAUACACACGUGCGCGCCCCGCCCGGCCUCCGGCGGCGCCCAGUGCCGCGCCGCGCCCGGACCUCUUCUGACUCUCGGAGGGUCGCGCUGCCGCCUUGCGCCUCCCCUCAGAGCGAGCUUGGCCGCCGCCAGCUUCCUGGUCUGGGGAUCCCCCUAUCCCCGGCGCGGGCUGGGACACCGCCCCCCCCCCACCCCCGCAGCCCUCCGGCGCUCGGGGCCCGAACUGGGAGAGCGGGCGCGGCCCAGCGAGGCGGAGCGGUUUGCAGCUAUCCCGCCCCCGUCCCCGGGCCGGCCGGCGGUGGGGAGGUGACCAGUGGCGCGGACGGGUACGUCCGGUCCGGCGACUUUCCCCAGGCCGCUGAACCUCUGAGCCCCGGGGGCGGGCGGGGCGCGGCUGGAACCGAAUCCAGAGCAGCCGCGGAGGCGAGGGUGGAAAGACGCAGUGGCGUGUGAGGGCGGAAAACUCGAGUGCCGAGCGGUGUUCUCGGGUGGAAGAGGACCCUUGUGGUUCCAUUGGGCCCACGGGAUAACCCACGACCAUGUCCCUAUUCAGAGUCUGCUUGUUAGCAUCCUUAAUUCCAUCUGCGACCUUAAUUCCCCCUUGCCAAGUGAUGACACACUCACAGGCUCCAGCGAUUAAGACGUGGACAUCUUCGGGGUCCAUAAUUCUGACUCCUUCACCCUUCCUGGAAAGGUGUGGGGAGGAUGAUACGGGGAGAGGCUGGGACCCCUGUCACAGAAAGUCCCGGUGCCCAAUUAGGAGGUGGCCUUUUGCACAGAGCCUGGGAUCCGUUCCUCCGGAGCCAGGCCGUUGAAGCCCCCUGGGCAUCUGCACCGCCCUGCGGUUUCUUCUUGGUGGGAUUCGGCUCUGUUCUCACGUGGCAGCCAGGAGAGAGAAGGACCCAACUAACAGCCGGCCACCGUCCCGUCUAAGAGAGGCCUGGGCGGAUGCGGGCAGGAAGCAUCAUUCUGACUGGGCAAGGCAGGACUCUUCACAGGGUUCCAGCUGGACCUUUUGGAAAAGGGAGGGGAUGAGGUGUGAGGAUGGCUUCAACCCCCCCCACCUUUCUCCAGCCCCCCCAAGCCAAGCCUGUUUUUUCCUAAUCAGCUAAGCAACUCUUAUACACGAAUAGAUGCAACUUAUAAAUAUGAUAAAUCAGUUCUGUUAAAAAUUCAAACGCUGUUUAUGAACUUAGAUCCUUUUAUGCUGUCUCAGUUGUCUAUUGCCUGGUAAUAAAUCACUGGAAAUUUACUGGCUUAAAAUAACAACCAGGACUCUGAGUCAGCGGCCUGGGCCAGGAUAAGCUGGAAGGUUCAUCUACUGGUCUGGCCGGGGUCACCGCUGUGGCUGCGCUCAUCUCACAACCCAGCUGGGGCUGGGGGCCCAGGG